Molecule: non-coding RNA, 28 nt
Filed under: Cricetulus griseus (Chinese hamster)
Lineage: Eukaryota; Metazoa; Chordata; Mammalia; Rodentia; Cricetidae
Source: RNAcentral
UUCUUGGCUCAGAAGAUGAUGAUUGGAC